Molecule: long non-coding RNA, 2250 nt
Organism: Bactrocera neohumeralis
Lineage: Eukaryota; Metazoa; Arthropoda; Insecta; Diptera; Tephritidae
Exons: 3
Source: RefSeq, a predicted model, not a curated record
CUCUGUUUUAAUCUCGGCUACGUUUUUGAAUCGGUCUUGUAAACUUGUUCUUAAGUUAGAACGGUCGUCUCUUAAGAGAUCGUCUCAGUGUGAAAUUUUCGACAAAUUUUGACGGUCAUAUACUGCCCACCUCAGUUUAAAACUACAGACAUCUAAUUUAAAGACUUUUUUGGAACACUAGGCUAUAGAUUUAUAGCAGGUGGAGAUUACAAUGCAAAACAUACGUAUUGGGGAUCACGACUAAUUAAUCCGAAAAGGCGACAACUGUAUCACACUAUUAAAAAUAGGCACAAUAACAUUGAAAUAAUAUCUCCUGGUAAGCCGACAUAUUGGCCUAGUAAUCGUAAGAAAAUACCAGAUUUAAUUGAUUUUGCUGUAAUCAAAAACUUGGAUAAAUCGCACAUAACAGCUGAUACUGUACUGAUCUAUCUUCUGAUCACUUGUACUAAUAAAGUUAUGUGAACAACCCAUAUUCGUUAAUCCAAAAGUGGGUCUAACUUCUUAUAAAACGAAUUGGCUAAAAUAUAAAAAAUACGUGAGUAGCCACAUUAAUAUUGACUACAAAAUAAAUAUGGGAAGAGAUAUUGACGAAAGCAUAAGAGAAGUCAAUGAUAUAAUAACCAGCGCAGCUGUCUUAGCAACACCAAAAAAAAAGCUAUAAGCCGCUUGGUUUCAGAAAAAUCUCUAAUAGAGAAAUGCGUGUAAAUGAAAAAAGGCGUGCAAGACGUGAAUGGCAGAUAAAUCGUUCCCCUUCCACUCAGCUUCAAUUAAAAUCUGCUGUACGUAAAUUAAAAAAAGCGCUUAAACGUGAGAAAGAAUUGAACACCGCAAUGUAUACAAAGAAGCUGUGUCCAAAUUCAAACAAGCAAAAUUCUCUUUGGAAAGCCCAAAAAUCCAUGAAGCCACCAACUGACUACAACAUGCCUAUACGAGACUUGGGCGGAAAUUGGGCUCGAAGUGAUGAGGAAAAGACUAAUUGCUUUGCAAAUCAGCUAGAAAAGGUAUUUCAAUCCAAUUUGCCAAAGAACAACUUUAAGCUGUCAAUCUUACCCAACGCAGCUAAAGAGUCGCUUGAGUCUCUUAAGACUUCACCUUCUGAAAUUAUUGGUAUCAUCAAAGAACUUAAUCCAAAAAAGUCGCCAGAACAUGAUAAUAUUUCACCAAAAAUGCAAAUUGCUCUCCAAUGCAAUUCUUAGUUUCGGAUACUAUCCAAUUUCAUGGAAAAAGUCGCAGAUUAUCUUGAUAGAUAAACAUGGGAAAGACUUAACACAGCCGUCUUCAUACAGACCAAUCAGUCUUCUACCCUGUCUUUCAAAAGUAUUUGAAAAAGUAUUAGUAUCAAAGAUCAAGUAAAUAGAAUUACUAACGAGAUAAGGAAAGCAUUUGAGCAAAGGGAGUACUGUUCAGCAAUAUUUCUAGAUGUAGCUCAGGCGUUUGAUGAAGUGUGGCACGAAGGCCUUUUAUAUAAGAUUAAAAAAAUUCUACCUUUUGAAUUGUAUGAAACAUUGGAGUCUUAUUUAAAUAAUAGACAAUUUGUAGUGAAAGUAGGAGAUUUCAUAUCUGAUGAACGACAUAUAAGGGCUGGUGUACCACAGGGCAGCGUUUUAGGCCCAACUCUAUACAUCAUAUAUACAGCAGACCUUCCAACAGCUAACAAUGUAUUAACAUCAACUUUUGCGGAUGAUACAGCUAUAGUGAGCCGUAACAAUUGCCACAUUUUAGCAUCAAGAAUACUAGCGGAGCAUUUAAGAUCUGUCGAAGAAUGGCUAGCGAACUGGCGUAUAAAUGUGAAUGAACAGAAAUUACCCCAAGCGAACGAAGUAACAUAUCUUGGUGUUCACCUAGAUAGAAGGCUCACGUGGAGAAAACACAUCUCUAGUAAAAUAACAUGUAUGAAGAUUAGAGCUGCAAAUUUAAAUUGGCUUUUAAAUUAAAACUCUGAACUUAGCCUAGACAACAAAGUGCUUUUAUAUAAGGCGGAAGGAAAGCCGAUUUGGAUGUAUGGCAUUCAACUGUGGGGUACGACCUGAGCAACUAAUAUUGAUAUAAUACAAAGGUUCCAAUCGACAAUGCUUAGAACAAUUACGUGUUCACCGUGGUAUGUACAUGCGUAACGAAAAUAUCCAUAAAGACCUUGGUAUUCCUAUGGUAAAGAAAGAAAUAGAAGACAGCAGAAUUAAAUAUAUGUAUAUCUAAACUCCGAGAUCACCCAAACCCUUUGGCUUAUUCAGAUUAUAUAAAACUGUCGAA